GAUGGUUCGAUUAGUCUUUCGCCCCUAUACCCAGUUCAUACGAUCGAUUUGCACGUCAGAAUCGCUACGGACCUCCAUCAGGGUUUCCCCUGACUUCAUCCUGACCAGGCAUAGUUCACCAUCUUUCGGGUCCCAGCGUGUACGCUCUUGGUGCGCCGCAACUUGCAAUAAGUACGCGACGCCCCGGGAAUGCGAGGUAACAUAAAUAACGUUACCCAUCUUCCCUUUAUAAUACAAUUAUAUAAAUUAUAUAUAUAUUUACUUUCAUUACGCCUUUAGGUUUAUUAUAAAUACCCAAUGACUUGCGCACAUGCUAGAUG
RNAcentral lists this ribosomal RNA (320 nucleotides) under Blackburnia alternans. RNAcentral's name for it is "partial 28S ribosomal RNA". Lineage: Eukaryota; Metazoa; Arthropoda; Insecta; Coleoptera; Carabidae. The record is from RNAcentral.